RNAcentral lists this ribosomal RNA (718 nucleotides) under uncultured fungus. RNAcentral describes it as "SSU rRNA". It matches the Rfam family "Eukaryotic small subunit ribosomal RNA", at positions 337 to 1059 of the family's 1831-position model. The record is from RNAcentral. Lineage: Eukaryota; Fungi.
AGGCCUACCAUGGUGGUAACGGGUAACGGGGUGUUAGGGCACGACACCGGAGAGGGAGCCUGAGAAACGGCUACCACAUCCAAGGAUGGCAGCAGGCGCGCAAAUUACCCAAUCCCGACACGGGGAGGUAGUGACAAUAAAUAACAAUACGGGGUUCUUUAGGAUCUCGUAAUUGGAAUGAGUACAAUUUAAAUCUUUUAACGAGGAACAAUUGGAGGGCAAGUCUGGUGCCAGCAGCCGCGGUAAUUCCAGCUCCAAUAGCGUACAUUAAAGUUGUUGCAGUUAAAAAGCUCGUAGUUGAGUUUCGGGGUUAGUAGGUUGGUCAUGCCUCUGGUAUGUACUGGUCUCACUGAUUCCUCCUUCCUUAUGAACCGUAAUGCCAUUAAUUUGGUGUUGCGGGGAAUUUGGACUGUUACUUUGAAAAAAUUAGAGUGUUUAAAGCAGGCUAACGCUUGAAUACAUUAGCAUGGAAUAAUGAAAUAGGACGUUCGAUCUUAUUUUGUUGGUUUCUAGGAUUGACGUAAUGAUUAAUAGGGAUAGUUGGGGGCAUUAGUAUUCAAUUGUCAGAGGUGAAAUUCUUGGAUUUAUUGAAGACUAACUACUGCGAAAGCAUUUGCCAAGGAUGUUUUCAUUAAUCAAGAACGAAAGUUAGGGGAUCGAAGACGAUCAGAUACCGUCGUAGUCUUAACCAUAAACUAUGCCGACUAGGGAUCGGAUG